Long non-coding RNA from Engraulis encrasicolus (European anchovy), 4472 nucleotides. RefSeq lists it as uncharacterized. NCBI's taxonomy places the organism in Eukaryota, Metazoa, Chordata, Actinopteri, Clupeiformes, Engraulidae. The record is from RefSeq and is a predicted model, not a curated record. The transcript is spliced from 5 exons.
GGCAUGUUUUUUUUUUCUAGCUGACUAAUGGGACACUGCUAGCAGAGUUAGUAUUGUCGUUUGGCGGCCAUUUUAGCAUUAGCAAUACCCGCGGGCAUCUGUUUCCGAUUUGAACAACCAAAUUCAUGAUGUUCCGAGAAUACACACACGGUUAUCUUUAUUAGAUGCAUGUACUAUUUUAUCGCUUUCAUGUAUUGUCGUUAUAGCUCAACACCCCAACGGCACGCUUUUGGUUAUGGCUAACACUCAAACCGCAUGUGGCACUGCUAGCAGAGUUGCUAGUCCUGUCAUUUGGCGGCCAUUUUAGCGUUAGCAAUGCCCGCGGGCAUCUGCUUCCUAUUUGAACAACCAACUUUAUGCAUGAUAUUCCGAGCAUACACAAACGGGUUUAUUUGUGAGCAAAUGUGUGUAUGUUGCAGCUAAACUUAACAGUAGCUAUGUCCGAGAGUGGGGGCACGCUAGCCUGGUUAUAAUCGACUUUAAAAGGUGUUGCGUGAGGGCACGGCCUGGCUUGGGGCACACCGACUGGAUUGUUAGACCGAAGUCUUGCAAACCAAUUGGCUAGAGCUCUAGUCUGGAAUUCUCCAUCACGACUCGCUCGCUGUCUGCACGACUACAGAAGAGUGUAGGUAUUGAGUGUGCAUGGAUAUCCUCGUUUUCCCCCGCUAAUUAAUUCUGGCUUUGUGUUUUUGUUAUAGCCUGCCGCCUAACCUGAUGACAAUGGAUGGCUUUGAUGAAGCCACUCGUUCGGUAUUGGAAGCUGACGGUCUACACAAAAAUGUUCAAGCGACUCCAGAAUAUGAGAUCCCCAUGCAGGAAGAGGCAGGGCCCCGUUCUUCUGAGAGGCCCAGCAAAGACUCUCCAGUGAAGACCAAGACAUUGACACGGAUUUGACAGACACGAGCGGAUCGGCUGAUAGUCAUUCUUGAGAGCAGAGAAGACCUCAGUGAUGACAACUGCAGUGCAGUGUCCCCAGCACGAGAUCCCCCUGUGCCAAAAAAGGCAAAGAGUGGCACCAAAGCUUCCAUUCCAUCACCCAGGACUGCAAUUGCUUCACCAACCAUGCCUGCGAAAGAUGUUGCUGAAGCGUCCCCAGCACGAGAUCCCCCUGUGCCAAAAAAGACAGAGUGGCACCAAAGCAGCCUUCCAUCAUCCAGGUCUUCCUCACCGGCACCCAUGACUGUGAUUGCUUCACCAACCAUGCCUGCAAAAGAUGUUGCUGCGGGUCUCGACAGUCUGAAGAUGCAGGCCAGACACUACAAAACCUUGAGCAACAUGGACAACAAGCCCAAUGCAAAACCCAAUCAAAGAGAUGUGGCGCAAAUUCUGGACCUCGACUUCGAAGCCAGACGGGCCUUUAUCGAUUCAGAGGUUACCAAGAAAGAAGACCGACCUGCAAACAUCCUUGAUGGAUGUUCGAAACGUAAAUUGAAAUCAUAACCUUAGAGUACAGCAACUACUUUUUGCUCAGCAAAGCAAGUGUCCCCUAUAUUAACGUCUUAUUUGCUGUGAUGGUGGUUGGCAGCACAAAGACUGUUUAAGAUCCUGUCUGAUCCUUGCAUCCUGAAAUACAGGCUUUGAAUAAAUCUUCACAUUUCUCUCAGCCCUUAUGCAGCAGCAUUUUAACACUGUAUGCUGAAAUACAGGAUAGGUAUACCCCACUCCCAGGUGAAAUUGAGCCUUGAAAUAGUAACCUUAGAGUACAGCAACUACUUUAAGAUGGUAAUAUAGGUGACAAUUGCUUUGCUGAGCAUAUUUGCUGUGAUGGGGGUUGGCAACACAGACUGUUUUAACCCAGUUUUGUACCUUCAGAAGCGCAUUCUCUAUUCUGCUCUUUCAUGGGUCACAUUAAGACAGUGGCUGGGUUACCUGAAAAACGUUUCUGCUCACUUGCACAACUCCAGGGACUAUGUGACUCAAUUUCGCUUAGGAUUGGGGUACAUGUUUAAGACAACUUAGAUGUACUGGGACCCCAGUAAUAAAAGGAAAUUAAAUUCUCAGACAACAUGAGGUAGCGUUUUUCCAACAUUGUAUCCUGAAAUACAGGCGUUAUUAAGGGAUACCCCACUCCGAGGUCAAAUUGAGCCACUUAAAGUCCCCAUAUUCGGAUAAGUGAGCAGGAGAGUUUUCCCGGUGACUCAGCCACUGCCUCAAUUUCACUUUGGGGUGGGGUAUUGGUCAAAGACCAACAACUUAGACCCACUGAAUAAUUCCAAAAAAACAGCAAUUAACUUGUGAAACACACAAAACAAUGCAAUAGUAACAAUCAGUUAUCAACAACUGACAGAUUUACUUGUCAAUGAAUGCGUUCCACUCGGCCAUUGCUUUUUUGUAUGAACUAGGGGCAUCCUUAUCAUGGAGGGCGUCACCAAUGACCUCCGUUUGAAUAACAGAGAGCAGGGUUGCCACACAUUUGGGGUAUGUGAGGUGCAAUGUAAUAAUAGUACGCCAUCAACACCAACAUGCCUUCUGAAAAAUCUUCCUGCUUGAGGGUUGUAAUGGGUACGUUACCCACAACCACAAUGGUAGAGCCAUCAAACAGCAGAACUGGGGAGCAGAGAGGAAUGUGUCUGUAUGCUGAAAUACAGAAGACAUAUCAAUGUUAAAAUGCUGUUUCAUAAGGACUGAUAUACAGGCUUUGAAUAAGUCUCUUUACAUUUCUCUCAGUUCUUAUGAAGCAGCUUUUUAACAUUGUAUGCUGAAAUACAGGAUGGGUAUAACUUAAGGGAUACCUGACUCCCAGGUGAAAUUGAGCCUCAAUUUGGCAGCACAGACGGUUGAAUUCAUAACCUUAGAGUACAGCAACUACUUUAUGCUCAACAUCUUAUUUGCUGUGAUGGUGGUUGGCAGCACAAAGACUGUUUAAGAUCCUGUCUGAUCCUUGCAUCCUGAAAUACAGGCUUUGAAUACAUCUCUUCACAUUUCUCUCAGUCCUUAUGAAGCAGCUUUUUAACAUUGUAUGCUGAAAUACAGGAUGGGUAUAACUUCAGGGAUAUCCCACUCCCAGGUGAAAUCGAGCCUCAAUUUGGCAGCACAAACGUUUGAGAUCGUAACCUUGGAGUACAGUCCUUAUGAAGCAGCAUUUUAACAUUGUAUGCUGAAAUACAGGAUAGGUAAAACUUAAGGGAUACCCCACUCCCAGGUGAAAUUGAGCCUCAAUUUGGCAGCACAGACGGUUUAAUUCAUAACCUUAGAGUACAGCAAUUACUUUAUGCUCAACAUCUUAUUUGCUGUGAUGGUGGUUGGCAGCACAAAGACUGUUUAAGAUCCUGUCUGAUCCUUGCAUCCUGAAAUACAGGCUUUGAAUAAAUCUCUUCACAUUUCUCUCAGCCUUUGUGCAGCAGCAUUUUAACACUGUAUGCUGAAAUACAGGAUAGGUAUACCCCACUCCCAGGUGAAAUUGAGCCUUGAAAUAGUAACCUUAGAGUACAGCAACUACUUUAAGAUGGUAAUAUAGGUGACAAUUGCUUUGCUGAGCAUAUUUGCUGUGAUGGGGGUUGGCAACACAAAGACUGUUUUAACCCGGUCCUGUACCUUCAGAAGUGCACUCUCUAUUCUGCUCUUUCAUGGGUCACAUUAAGACAGUGGCUGGGUUACCUGAAAAACAUUUCUGCUCACUUGCACAACUCCAGGGACUAUGUGACUCAAUUUCGCUUAGGAUUGGGGUACAUGUUUAAGACAACUUAGAUGUACUGGGACCCCAGUAAUAAAAGGAAAUUAAAUUCUCAGACAUUAUGAGGUAGCGUUUUUCCAACAUUGUAUCCUGAAAUACAGGCGUUAUUAAGGGAUACCCCACUCCGAGGUCAAAUUGAGCCACUUAAAGUCCCCAUAUUCGGAUAAGUGAGCAGGAGAGUUUUCCCGGUGACUCAGCCACUGCCUCAAUUUCACUUUGGGGUGGGGUAUUGGUCAAAGACCAACAACUUAGACCCAUUGAAUAAUUACAAAAAACAGCAAUUAACUUGUGAAACACACAAAACAAUGCAAUAGUAACAUAAACAGUAAUCAACAACUGACAGAUUUACUUGUCAAUGAAUGCGUUCCACUCGGCCAUUGCUUUUUUUGUAUGAUCUAGUGGCAUCCUUAUUAUGGAGGGCGUCACCAAUGACCUCCGUUUGAAUAACAGAGAGCAGGGUUGCCACACAUUUGGGGUAUGUGAGGUGCAAUGUAAUAAUAGUACGCCAUCAACACCAACAUCCCUUCUGAAAAAUCUUCUUGCUUGAGGGUUGUAACAGGUACGUUACCCACAGCCACGAUUGUAGUUGAGCCAUCAAACAGCAGAACUGGGGGGCAGAGAGGAAUGUCUGAUCUGUCUUCUGUAUUUCAGCAUACAAUGUUCAAAUGCUGUUUCAUAAGGACUGAUAUACAGGCUUUGAAUAAGUCUCUUUACAUUUCUAUGAGUGCAAUGUUGGAAAAUGCUGACAACUGUGAUUUUGUGUGAACAAGGAGGAAAUAAUAAAUGUUAAAUAUGUUAA